GUGCUCACUUCGACAGCACAUAUGCUAAAACUGGAACGAUACAGAAAGAUCAGCAUGGCCCCUGUGCAAAGAUGACACAAAUUUAUAAAAAAAAAAUAAUUGUUUA
This is a small nuclear RNA of Prolemur simus (greater bamboo lemur), 106 nucleotides long. Lineage: Eukaryota; Metazoa; Chordata; Mammalia; Primates; Lemuridae. The record is from Ensembl.